Molecule: ribosomal RNA, 497 nt
Filed under: uncultured bacterium
Lineage: Bacteria
Description: partial 16S ribosomal RNA
Rfam family: Bacterial small subunit ribosomal RNA
Source: RNAcentral
GAUGAACGCUGGCGGCGUGCCUAAUACAUGCAAGUCGAGCGAACAGACGAGGAGCUUGCUCCUCUGACGUUAGCGGCGGACGGGUGAGUAACACGUGGAUAACCUACCUAUAAGACUGGGAUAACUUCGGGAAACCGGAGCUAAUACCGGAUAAUAUAUUGAACCGCAUGGUUCAAUAGUGAAAGACGGUUUUGCUGUCACUUAUAGAUGGAUCCGCGCCGCAUUAGCUAGUUGGUAAGGUAACGGCUUACCAAGGCGACGAUGCGUAGCCGACCGGAGAGGGUGAUCGGCCACACUGGAACUGAGACACGGUCCAGACUCCUACGGGAGGCAGCAGUAGGGAAUCUUGCGCAAUGGGCGAAAGCCUGACGGAGCAACGCCGCGUGAGUGAUGAAGGUCUUCGGAUCGUAAAACUCUGUUAUUAGGGAAGAACAAAUGUGUAAGUAACUAUGCACGUCUUGACGGUACCUAAUCAGAAAGCCACGGCUAACUACGUG